Molecule: ribosomal RNA, 465 nt
Filed under: uncultured bacterium
Lineage: Bacteria
Description: partial 16S ribosomal RNA
Rfam family: Bacterial small subunit ribosomal RNA
Source: RNAcentral
GACGAACGCUGGCGGUGUGCUUAACACAUGCAAGUCGAACGGUAAGGCCCUUUCUGGGGUACACGAGUGGCGAACGGGUGAGUAACACGUGAGUAACCUGCCCUCAUCUCUGGGAUAACAGUCGGAAACGGUUGCUAAUACUGGAUAUGAGCCUGCAAUGCAUCUUGUGGGUUGGAAAGAUUUUUUGGUUGGGGAUGGACUCGCGGCCUAUCAGCUUGUUGGUGAGGUAGUGGCUCACCAAGGCUUCGACGGGUAGCCGGCCUGAGAGGGCGACCGGCCACAUUGGGACUGAGGUACGGCCCAAACUCCUACGGGAGGCAGCAGUGGGGAAGAUUGCACAAUGGACGGAAGUCUGAUGCAGCAACGCCGCGUGCGGGAUGACGGCCUUCGGGUUGUAAACCGCUUUCAAUUGUGACGAAGCUUUUUGUGACGGUAGCAGUAGAAGAAGCACCGGCUAACUACGUG